This 233-nucleotide ribosomal RNA is filed under the name uncultured bacterium. RNAcentral describes it as "partial 16S ribosomal RNA". It matches the Rfam family "Bacterial small subunit ribosomal RNA", at positions 794 to 1025 of the family's 1533-position model. The record is from RNAcentral.
UCCACGCCCUAAACGAUGUCAACUAGACGUUGGGUUCAUUAAGGAACUUAGUGUCGAAGCUAACGCGUUAAGUUGACCGCCUGGGGAGUACGGCCGCAAGGUUGAAACUCAAAGGAAUUGACGGGGGCCCGCACAAGCGGUGGAGCAUGUGGUUUAAUUCGAUGCAACGCGAAGAACCUUACCAGCCCUUGACAUCCUGGGAACUUACUAGAGAUAGUUUGGUGCCUUCGGGA